CUUCAGCGAACCCAGCCAGCAGGGGCUUUGUGCCGGCCGGUCCCGUCCGUAGGUGGCGAGCAGGGCCUGGGCCUC
This 75-nucleotide antisense RNA is filed under the name Frankia sp. AcoPraII.1. Its description in RNAcentral is "ASpks". It matches the Rfam family "ASpks TB sRNA". Lineage: Bacteria; Bacillati; Actinomycetota; Actinomycetes; Frankiales; Frankiaceae. The record is from RNAcentral.